GAUGAACGCUGGCGGCGUGCUUAACACAUGCAAGUCGAACGGAAAGGCCCUGCUUUUGUGGGGUGCUCGAGUGGCGAACGGGUGAGUAACACGUGAGUAACCUGCCCUUGACUUUGGGAUAACUUCAGGAAACUGGGGCUAAUACCGGAUAGGAGCUCCUGCUGCAUGGUGGGGGUUGGAAAGUUUCGGCGGUUGGGGAUGGACUCGCGGCUUAUCAGCUUGUUGGUGGGGUAGUGGCUUACCAAGGCUUUGACGGGUAGCCGGCCUGAGAGGGUGACCGGCCACAUUGGGACUGAGAUACGGCCCAGACUCCUACGGGGGGCAGCAGUGGGGAAUAUUGCGCAAUGGGCGGAAGCCUGAUGCAGCAACGCCGCGUGCGGGAUGACGGCCUUCGGGUUGUAAACCGCUUUCGCCUGUGACGAAGCGUGAGUGACGGUAAUGGGUAAAGAAGCACCGGCUAACUACGUG
RNAcentral lists this ribosomal RNA (468 nucleotides) under uncultured bacterium. RNAcentral's name for it is "partial 16S ribosomal RNA". It matches the Rfam family "Bacterial small subunit ribosomal RNA", at positions 28 to 507 of the family's 1533-position model. The record is from RNAcentral.